UAGGGAAUCUUCGGCAAUGGACGGAAGUCUGACCGAGCAACGCCGCGUGAGUGAAGAAGGUUUUCGGAUCGUAAAGCUCUGUUGUAAGAGAAGAACGAGUGUGAGAGUGAAAAGUUCACACUGUGACGGUAUCUUACCAGAAAGGGACGGCUAACUACGUGCCAGCAGCCGCGGUAAUACGUAGGUCCCGAGCGUUGUCCGGAUUUAUUGGGCGUAAAGCGAGCGCAGGCGGUUAGAUAAGUCUGAAGUUAAAGGCUGUGGCUUAACCAUAGUAGGCUUUGGAAACUGUUUAACUUGAGUGCAAGAGGGGAGAGUGGAAUUCCAUGUGUAGCGGUGAAAUGCGUAGAUAUAUGGAGGAACACCGGUGGCGAAAGCGGCUCUCUGGCUUGUAACUGACGCUGAGGCUCGAAAGCGUGGGGAGCAAACAGGAUUAGAUACCCUGGUAGUCCACGCUGUAAACGAUGAGUGCUAGGUGUUAGACCCUUUCCGGGGUUUAGUGCCGUAGCUAACGCAUUAAGCACUCCGCCUGGGGAGUACGACCGCAAGGUUG
This 550-nucleotide ribosomal RNA is filed under the name uncultured bacterium. RNAcentral describes it as "bacterial SSU rRNA". It matches the Rfam family "Bacterial small subunit ribosomal RNA", at positions 355 to 896 of the family's 1533-position model. The record is from RNAcentral.